UGGGCUUGACAUCCUGAGAAGAUAUUGGAAACAUAAUUGUAACCUUCGGGGAAUUCAGUGAC
RNAcentral lists this ribosomal RNA (62 nucleotides) under uncultured bacterium. RNAcentral describes it as "partial 16S ribosomal RNA". The record is from RNAcentral.